UUAAGUUAUUAAGGGCGCAUGGUGGAUGCCUUGGCACUAGAAGCCGAAGAAGGACGUUACUAACGACGAUACGCUUUGGGUAGCUGUAAGUAAGCGUUGAUCCAGAGAUUUCCGAAUGGGGGAACCCAACAUGAGUUAUGUCAUGUUAUCGACAUGUGAAUUCAUAGCAUGUCAGAAGGCAGACCCGGAGAACUGAAACAUCUUAGUACCCGGAGGAAGAGAAAGAAAAAUCGAUUCCCUGAGUAGCGGCGAGCGAAACGGGAAGAGCCCAAACCAACAAGCUUGCUUGUUGGGGUUGUAGGACACUCUAUACGGAGUUACAAAAGAACAUGUUAGACGAAUCAUCUGGAAAGAUGAAUCAAAGAAGGUAAUAAUCCUGUAGUCGAAAACAUAUUCUCUCUUGAGUGGAUCCUGAGUACGACGGAGCACGUGAAAUUCCGUCGGAAUCUAGGAGGACCAUCUCCUAAGGCUAAAUACUCUCUAGUGACCGAUAGUGAACCAGUACCGUGAGGGAAAGGUGAAAAGUACCCCGGAAGGGGAGUGAAAGAGAACUUGAAACCGUGUGCUUACAAGUAGUCAGAGCCCGUUUAUGGGUGAUGGCGUGCCUUUUGUAGAAUGAACCGGCGAGUUACGAUCUGAUGCAAGGUUAAGCAGCGAAUGUGGAGCCGUAGCGAAAGCGAGUCUGAAUAGGGCGUUGAGUAUUUGGUCGUAGACCCGAAACCAGGUGAUCUACCCUUGGUCAGGUUGAAGUUCAGGUAACACUGAAUGGAGGACCGAACCGACUUACGUUGAAAAGUGAGCGGAUGAACUGAGGGUAGCGGAGAAAUUCCAAUCGAACUUGGAGAUAGCUGGUUCUCUCCGAAAUAGCUUUAGGGCUAGCCUCAAGUGAUGAUUAUUGGAGGUAGAGCACUGUUUGGACGAGGGGCCCCUCUCGGGUUACCGAAUUCAGACAAACUCCGAAUGCCAAUCAAUUUAACUUGGGAGUCAGAACAUGGGUGAUAAGGUCCGUGUUCGAAAGGGAAACAGCCCAGACCACCAGCUAAGGUCCCAAAAUAUAUGUUAAGUGGAAAAGGAUGUGGCGUUGCCCAGACAACUAGGAUGUUGGCUUAGAAGCAGCCAUCAUUUAAAGAGUGCGUAAUAGCUCACUAGUCGAGUGACACUGCGCCGAAAAUGUACCGGGGCUAAACAUAUUACCGAAGCUGUGGAUUGUCCUUCGGACAAUGGUAGGAGAGCGUUCUAAGGGCGUUGAAGCAUGAUCGCAAGGACAUGUGGAGCGCUUAGAAGUGAGAAUGCCGGUGUGAGUAGCGAAAGACGGGUGAGAAUCCCGUCCACCGAUUGACUAAGGUUUCCAGAGGAAGGCUCGUCCGCUCUGGGUUAGUCGGGUCCUAAGCUGAGGCCGACAGGCGUAGGCGAUGGAUAACAGGUUGAUAUUCCUGUACCACCUAGUAUCGUUUUAAUCGAUGGGGGGACGCAGUAGGAUAGGCGAAGCGUGCUGUUGGAGUGCACGUCCAAGCAGUAAGGCUGAGUGUUAGGCAAAUCCGGCACUCGUUAGGCUGAGCUGUGAUGGGGAGAGGAAAUUGUUUCCUCGAGUCGUUGAUUUCACACUGCCGAGAAAAGCCUCUAGAUAGAUAACAGGUGCCCGUACCGCAAACCGACACAGGUAGUCAAGAUGAGAAUUCUAAGGUGAGCGAGCGAACUCUCGUUAAGGAACUCGGCAAAAUGACCCCGUAACUUCGGGAGAAGGGGUGCUCUUUAGGGUUCACGCCCAGAAGAGCCGCAGUGAAUAGGCCCAAGCGACUGUUUAUCAAAAACACAGGUCUCUGCUAAACCGUAAGGUGAUGUAUAGGGGCUGACGCCUGCCCGGUGCUGGAAGGUUAAGAGGAGUGGUUAGCUUCUGCGAAGCCACGAAUCGAAGCCCCAGUAAACGGCGGCCGUAACUAUAACGGUCCUAAGGUAGCGAAAUUCCUUGUCGGGUAAGUUCCGACCCGCACGAAAGGCGUAACGAUUUGGGCACUGUCUCAACGAGAGACUCGGUGAAAUCAUAGUACCUGUGAAGAUGCAGGUUACCCGCGACAGGACGGAAAGACCCCGUGGAGCUUUACUGUAGCCUGAUAUUGAAAUUCGGCACAGCUUGUACAGGAUAGGUAGGAGCCAUUGAAACGUGAGCGCUAGCUUACGUGGAGGCGUUGGUGGGAUACUACCCUAGCUGUGUUGGCUUUCUAACCCGCACCACUUAUCGUGGUGGGAGACAGUGUCAGGCGGGCAGUUUGACUGGGGCGGUCGCCUCCUAAAAGGUAACGGAGGCGCUCAAAGGUUCCCUCAGAAUGGUUGGAAAUCAUUCACAGAGUGUAAAGGCAUAAGGGAGCUUGACUGCGAGACCUACAAGUCGAGCAGGGUCGAAAGACGGACUUAGUGAUCCGGUGGUUCCGCAUGGAAGGGCCAUCGCUCAACGGAUAAAAGCUACCCCGGGGAUAACAGGCUUAUCUCCCCCAAGAGUUCACAUCGACGGGGAGGUUUGGCACCUCGAUGUCGGCUCAUCGCAUCCUGGGGCUGUAGUCGGUCCCAAGGGUUGGGCUGUUCGCCCAUUAAAGCGGUACGCGAGCUGGGUUCAGAACGUCGUGAGACAGUUCGGUCCCUAUCCGUCGUGGGCGUAGGAAAUUUGAGAGGAGCUGUCCUUAGUACGAGAGGACCGGGAUGGACAUACCUCUGGUGUACCAGUUGUCGUGCCAACGGCAUAGCUGGGUAGCUAUGUAUGGACGGGAUAAGUGCUGAAAGCAUCUAAGCAUGAAGCCCCCCUCAAGAUGAGAUUUCCCAACUUCGGUUAUAAGAUCCCUCGAAGAUGACGAGGUUAAUAGGUUCGAGGUGGAAGCGUGGUGACACGUGGAGCUGACGAAUACUAAUCGAUCGAAGACUUAAUCAA
RNAcentral lists this ribosomal RNA (2920 nucleotides) under Staphylococcus capitis. RNAcentral describes it as "23S ribosomal RNA". It matches the Rfam family "Bacterial large subunit ribosomal RNA". The record is from RNAcentral. Lineage: Bacteria; Bacillati; Bacillota; Bacilli; Caryophanales; Staphylococcaceae.